AGACGCACUCCCUACGGGAGGCAGCAGUGGGGAAAUCUUAGACAAUGGGCGCAAGCCUGAUCUAGCCAUGCCGCGUGAGUGAUGAAGGUCUUAGGAUCGUAAAGCUCUUUCGCUAGGGAUGAUAAUGACAGUACCUAGUAAAGAAGCCCCGGCUAACUCCGUGCCAGCAGCCGCGGUAAUACGGAGGGGGCUAGCGUUGUUCGGAAUUACUGGGCGUAGAGCGUACGUAGGCGGAUCAGAAAGUAUGGGGUGAAAUCCCAGGGCUUAACCCUGGAACUGCCUCAUAAACUCCUGGUCUUGAGUUCGAGAGAGGUGAGUGGAAUUCCAAGUGUAGAGGUGAAAUUCGUAGAUAUUUGGAGGAACACCAGUGGCGAAGGCGGCUCACUGGCUCGAUACUGACGCUGAGGUACGAAAGUGUGGGGAGCAAACAGGAUUAGAUACCCUGGUAGUCCA
RNAcentral lists this ribosomal RNA (453 nucleotides) under uncultured Alphaproteobacteria bacterium. Its description in RNAcentral is "bacterial SSU rRNA". It matches the Rfam family "Bacterial small subunit ribosomal RNA", at positions 329 to 797 of the family's 1533-position model. Lineage: Bacteria; Pseudomonadati; Pseudomonadota; Alphaproteobacteria. The record is from RNAcentral.